GAACGCUGGCGGCGUGCCUAAUACAUGCAAGUAGAACGCUGAAGAGAGGAGCUUGCUCUUCUUGGAUGAGUUGCGAACGGGUGAGUAACGCGUAGGUAACCUGCCUUGUAGCGGGGGAUAACUAUUGGAAACGAUAGCUAAUACCGCAUAACAAUGGAUGACACAUGUCAUUUAUUUGAAAGGGGCAAUUGCUCCACUACAAGAUGGACCUGCGUUGUAUUAGCUAGUAGGUGAGGUAAUGGCUCACCUAGGCGACGAUACAUAGCCGACCUGAGAGGGUGAUCGGCCACACUGGGACUGAGACACGGCCCAGACUCCUACGGGAGGCAGCAGUAGGGAAUCUUCGGCAAUGGGGGCAACCCUGACCGAGCAACGCCGCGUGAGUGAAGAAGGUUUUCGGAUCGUAAAGCUCUGUUGUAAGUCAAGAACGGGUGUGAGAGUGGAAAGUUCACACUGUGACGGUAGCUUACCAGAAAGGGACGGCUAACUACGUGCCAGCAGCCGCGGUAAUACGUAGGUCCCGAGCGUUGUCCGGAUUUAUUGGGCGUAAAGCGAGCGCAGGCGGUUUGAUAAGUCUGAAGUUAAAGGCUGUGGCUCAACCAUAGUUCGCUUUGGAAACUGUCAAACUUGAGUGCAGAAGGGGAGAGUGGAAUUCCAUGUGUAGCGGUGAAUGCGUAGAUAUAUGGAGGAACACCGGUGGCGAAAGCGGCUCUCUGGUCUGUAACUGACGCUGAGGCUCGAAAGCGUGGGGAGCGAACAGGAUUAGAUACCCUGGUAGUCCACGCCGUAAACGAUGAGUGCUAGGUGUUGGAUCCUUUCCGGGAUUCAGUGCCGCAGCUAACGCAUUAAGCACUCCGCCUGGGGAGUACGACCGCAAGGUUGAAACUCAAAGGAAUUGACGGGGGCCCGCACAAGCGGUGGAGCAUGUGGUUUAAUUCGAAGCAACGCGAAGAACCUUACCAGGUCUUGACAUCCCGAUGCUAUUUCUAGAGAUAGAAAGUUACUUCGGUACAUCGGUGACAGGUGGUGCAUGGUUGUCGUCAGCUCGUGUCGUGAGAUGUUGGGUUAAGUCCCGCAACGAGCGCAACCCCUAUUGUUAGUUGCCAUCAUUCAGUUGGGCACUCUAGCGAGACUGCCGGUAAUAAACCGGAGGAAGGUGGGGAUGACGUCAAAUCAUCAUGCCCCUUAUGACCUGGGCUACACACGUGCUACAAUGGUUGGUACAACGAGUUGCGAGUCGGUGACGGCGAGCUAAUCUCUUAAAGCCAAUCUCAGUUCGGAUUGUAGGCUGCAACUCGCCUACAUGAAGUCGGAAUCGCUAGUAAUCGCGGAUCAGCACGCCGCGGUGAAUACGUUCCCGGGCCUUGUAUUACACCGCCCGUCACACCACGAGAGUUUGUAACACCCGAAGUCGGUGAGGUAACCUUUUGGAGCCAGCCGCCUAAGGUGGGACAGAUGAUUGGGGUG
This 1467-nucleotide ribosomal RNA is filed under the name Streptococcus thermophilus. RNAcentral describes it as "bacterial SSU rRNA". It matches the Rfam family "Bacterial small subunit ribosomal RNA". Lineage: Bacteria; Bacillati; Bacillota; Bacilli; Lactobacillales; Streptococcaceae. The record is from RNAcentral.